UACGUAGGGGGCAAGCGUUGUCCGGAAUCAUUGGGCGUAAAGAGCUUGUAGGCGGUUUGUCGCGUCUGCUGUGAAAUUUCGGGGCUCAACCCCGAACUUGCAGUGGGUACGGGCAGACUAGAGUGUGGUAGGGGAGACUGGAAUUCCUGGUGUAGCGGUGAAAUGCGCAGAUAUCAGGAGGAACACCAGUGGCGAAGGCGGCUCACUGGACGACUGUUGACGCUGAGGUGCGAAAGCGUGGGGAGCAAACAGG
RNAcentral lists this ribosomal RNA (253 nucleotides) under uncultured bacterium. RNAcentral's name for it is "partial 16S ribosomal RNA". It matches the Rfam family "Bacterial small subunit ribosomal RNA", at positions 524 to 776 of the family's 1533-position model. The record is from RNAcentral.